CCUACGGGCGGCAGCAGUAGGGAAUCUUUCACAAUGGGCGAAAGCCUGAUGGAGCAACGCCGCGUGCAGGAUGAAGGCCUUCGGGUUGUAAACUGCUUUUAUAAGCGAGAAAUAUGAUGGUAACUUAUGAAUAAGGAUCGGCUAGCUACGUGCCAGCAGCCGCGGUCAUACGUAGGAUCCGAGCAUUAUCCGGAGUGACUGGGUGUAAAGAGUUGCGUAGGUGGCAUAAUAAGUAGCUAGUGAAAUCUGGUGGCUCAACCAUUCAGACUAUUAGCUAAACUGUUAAGCUCGAGACCGUUAGGGGUAACUGGAAUUUCUAGUGUAGGAGUGAAAUCCGUAGAUAUUAGAAGGAACACCAAUAGCGUAGGCAGGUUGCUGGGACGGUUCUGACACUAAGGCACGAAAGCGUAGGGAGCAAACGGGAUUAGAUACCCGAGUAGUC
Molecule: ribosomal RNA, 442 nt
Filed under: uncultured bacterium
Lineage: Bacteria
Description: partial 16S ribosomal RNA
Rfam family: Bacterial small subunit ribosomal RNA
Source: RNAcentral